Molecule: long non-coding RNA, 494 nt
Filed under: Homo sapiens (human)
Lineage: Eukaryota; Metazoa; Chordata; Mammalia; Primates; Hominidae
Description: non-protein coding LINC01942:12
Source: RNAcentral
AGUGAACUGGUCCCCUUAGCAGCUGACCUCCUCCUCCAGCCCUGUGGCUGCCUCCUCUCCAACAGGGACCCUCCUGGUGAAAGAAAAAGAGACUUGGUAAUUCACUGAGCAUCACCCAAGACCGGGCGCAGACCUACACCCUGGCGUAUAAAAGACGUAGUACUCACGUCAUUCCUGUUUCACAGAUGCACAGACUUACUCUUGGAGAGGCUCCUCCCAAAAGUCACCCAGCUGAUUUUCAUCCACUUGGCUCCCCAAGUUGCUGCUCGACCGCUCUCUGACCUGGAUUCACUGAGGACACAUCAGGCCUUUGCCACGGGCUCCAUGGAGUGGCCGGAGCCCAGGGCUGGGUGAGUGUGGGGUGGGUCUGAAGGGGAGGACGUGCAUCUAGAGGCCAGGCCAGCCCCUGCAGGAUUUUCUGAUGUCAAAUCGCCUGUCCUGUGCCCGAGCCCUAUCGCCUUAGCAGAAUGAGGACACGUGCCUCCCCUGGGCCU